GCAUUGGUGGUUCAGUGGUAGAAUUACUGCCUUCCAUGUACAAGACCCAUGUUAGAUUCCUGGCCAGUGCA
Molecule: transfer RNA, 71 nt
Filed under: Loxodonta africana (African savanna elephant)
Lineage: Eukaryota; Metazoa; Chordata; Mammalia; Proboscidea; Elephantidae
Rfam family: tRNA
About the family: Transfer RNA (tRNA) molecules are approximately 80 nucleotides in length. Their secondary structure includes four short double-helical elements and three loops (D, anti-codon, and T loops).
Source: Rfam by way of RNAcentral